Molecule: long non-coding RNA, 784 nt
Filed under: Cricetulus griseus (Chinese hamster)
Lineage: Eukaryota; Metazoa; Chordata; Mammalia; Rodentia; Cricetidae
Description: lncRNA (ENSCGRG00015031227.1)
Source: RNAcentral
CCCCUCACAAGAUGCAUUAAAGCUUGUCUGCAGAAGGAUCCGAGUGUCCUGCGUAUGAUUUCUUGCUGGCGAGAAAUACAGAGCGUGCGCGGGACAUAUGGUGCCGAAACCCGGGAACAUGUGAACAUCUCCAGCACCUCGGAGACCCCUCUAACGAGGCGGAUUCAGAACUGCAGGGUGGUAAAUUCGGAGAGGUAUGUUUUUUCUGGACUUUGGCUUGGGAAUGUUGCUAUUUUGGGAGGUUAAUAUAGAGGCUUCUAUGCUUUUACUAGGAGCUAUUUUGACUUUUCUCACUGUUGUAGCAAUCUUAAAGAAGUCCAGAAUUACAUAUCAGAAACCGAAUGUGGUGAGAGAUGGGGCGGAUUCAGAACUGCAGGGUGGUAAAUUCGGAGAGGUAUGAUUUUUCUGGACUUUGGCUUGGGAAUGUUGCUAUUGUGGGAGGUUAAUAUAGAGGCUUCUAUGCUUUUACUAGGAGCUAUUUUGACUUUUCUCACUGUUGUAGCAAUCUUAAAGAAGUCCAGAAUUAUAUAUCAGAAACCGAAUGUGGUGAGAGAUGGGGCGCGCCUAACAAUAAAAUAUAAGGAAAAAGGACCUCCCGGGAUGUCUAGUGACAAGGGAGUGAAUAAUUUGUUAAGAGAAACAGCAAUAAAUAAGAAAAAAGGACCUCCUGGGAUGUCUACUGACAAGGGAGUGAAUAGUUUGUCAGAUGAUUCUGUAAAUAAGUUUAAAGCUUUAAAUCUUGAUAGCUCUAAUGACUCUAAAAGCUCAAGAGAUGGGGUUUUGG